CAGUAGCCACGGGAAUACGUAGGGCGCAAGCGUUGUCCGGAAUUAUUGGGCGUAAAGAGCUCGUAGGCGGUCUGUCGCGUCUGGUGUGAAAUCCCGAGGCUCAACCUCGGGCUUGCAUCGGGUACGGGCAGACUAGAGUGCGGUAGGGGAGACUGGAAUUCCUGGUGUAGCGGUGGAAUGCGCAGAUAUCAGGAGGAACACCGAUGGCGAAGGCAGGUCUCUGGGCCGCAACUGACGCUGAGGAGCGAAAGCAUGGGGAGCGAACAGGAUUAGAGACCCGCGUAUCCCUGUCUCUUAUACA
RNAcentral lists this ribosomal RNA (301 nucleotides) under uncultured bacterium. Its description in RNAcentral is "partial 16S ribosomal RNA". It matches the Rfam family "Bacterial small subunit ribosomal RNA", at positions 509 to 809 of the family's 1533-position model. The record is from RNAcentral.